Molecule: ribosomal RNA, 301 nt
Filed under: uncultured bacterium
Lineage: Bacteria
Description: partial 16S ribosomal RNA
Rfam family: Bacterial small subunit ribosomal RNA
Source: RNAcentral
CAGUCGCCGCGGUAAUACGAAGGGGGCUAGCGUUGUUCGGAUUUACUGGGCGUAAAGGGUGCGUAGGCGGACUGAUAAGUCAGGGGUGAAAUCCCAAGGCUCAACCUUGGAACUGCCUUUGAUACUGUUAGUCUUGAGUUCGAGAGAGGUGAGUGGAACUGCGGGUGUAGAGGUGAAAUUCGUAGAUAUUCGCAAGAACACCAGUGGCGAAGGCGGCUCACUGGCUCGAAACUGACGCUGAGGCACGAAAGCGUGGGGAGCCAACAGGAUUAGAUACCCCUGUAGUCCCUGUCUCUUAUAC